UUAAUCGUCAACACAAGUGGCUACCACAAACCGCCACUCGCCAGAGAAGUACAGGUGAAAAACCAGAAACUCAAAGGACUUGGCGGUGUCCCACAUCAACCUAGAGGAGCCUGUCCCAUAAUCGAUAACCCACGUUAAACCUAACCUACUUUUGCCCCCCAGCCUAUAUACCGCCGUCGCCAGCCUACCUAAUGAUAGACACACAGCAGGCGAAACAGCCCACACUAAUACGUCAGGUCAAGGUGUAGCUAAUAAGCAGGUCUCAGAUGGGCUACAUUUUCUACCCACAAGAAAAUUACCACACGCACCAUGAAACAUAAGCCGCAAGGCGGAUUUAGCAGUAAACUGGGCAAGAAAGCCCAAUUGAAAAUUGCCCUGGGACAC
Molecule: ribosomal RNA, 384 nt
Filed under: Ptyodactylus cf. hasselquistii
Lineage: Eukaryota; Metazoa; Chordata; Lepidosauria; Squamata; Phyllodactylidae
Description: partial 12S ribosomal RNA
Rfam family: Bacterial small subunit ribosomal RNA (bases 44-384)
Source: RNAcentral